Molecule: long non-coding RNA, 9720 nt
Filed under: Marmota monax (woodchuck)
Lineage: Eukaryota; Metazoa; Chordata; Mammalia; Rodentia; Sciuridae
Source: RNAcentral
UGGAAACCUUUCCGCGAUCCCAUCAGUGCUGAAGGAUCACAACAGCAACAAAUUAGACCAACAGGCUCGGGAAAAUGUGCCCGAUUUAGAAACGGAUGUUACAGUUUAUUAACCAGCUAAAUUAAUUCGAUUUUGAACCACUGUUAAAUAUACAUUAGGAUGUAUCGCCCAGGAGCCCAGCGGGCGGGGGGAGGGCGGGGGGAGGCUGUCCUGACCUCCCUCGGGGCCUGUGCGAGGGGUCCACGCUGGGGUUCCGGGCAGUGCCGGAGCUGGAGAGGGAGGGAGGCCCAGGGAAAGCCCGGGCACCGCAGGCUCCACCCCAGGGCGGGAGCCAGGAGCUCCGUAUCUCGUAUCUGAAAGUCUCAGACAUUCCUCCUUCAAGUACAGCUGGAUCCAGGAGCUCAAGGUCAACAGGAACCGGCUUUUGGUUUUUCAUGUUCUUCUACUGUCUGCAGGGCCAGGCCUGCUGUGAGAGCAACCCGGGACCCUCUGGCAGCCAGGACAGGCCUGGCCGUGGCCCUGCCCUCCGUCACUGCACAGAGAGCUCCCGCCGUGGGCUGAAUGCAGCUCUGAGGCCACACUGUCCCGCUGGGUCCCGUUGGUGGCCAAGGAGCAGGAAAUGUGGUGCUCACCGCUCUGGAGGCUGAGGCCCAAGGUGGAGGCCCCAGAGGUCCCACUCUGGUGAGGGCUGCUGCUCCCCAGAUGUCCUCACGGGGUGGAAACUGGCCAGGGAGUUCUCUGGGGUCCCUGCUUGAAGUUAACACCCCCCGUGGGGGCCCACGUCAUGACCUUGUCCCCUCCCACAGGCUCUGCCUCCCGACACCAUCACAUGCAGGGUCAGGACCUCAACCUAUGAAUGUGGGGGAGACACAAACACUUAAUCUGUAACCCACGCAUUGGAAGACAUAGCCGGCCUCCCCUACGGGGCCUUUGCACCUGCUGAGCUGGUGGCCCAGAAUGCUUUGCUUCCCCCACCAGCAGCAGCGCAUCCCCAGGGACCCUGGAACUCCCGCUGGGCCUGCCCUGCCUUCCGGCUGGUACCUUCCCUACUGCGCAUGCCCAGUGCUCAAAAUGGAAGCCCAUUUACAUCAUGGAAAGGGCAGGAAGCGAGGGACUUCUGGCCCCGGCCACUGCGUGGAUGAGCCUUGAGGGUGUUAUGCCAAGGGCAAGAAGCUGGCAGCCAGGGGUGCCCAUGAGGAGACCCAGCUUAGAGGAGAGGAGGGCUAGGGCGCCAUGGCCAGGAUAGGGGAGUGGCAGUUACUGCUCCACAGGGCCAGGGACAGGGCCACUGUUCAGGGUGACAGGAGCCCCAGGAACCGGCUCGUGGCGAGUGUCACUAACACCAGACCUUGGACCUCACAGUGGCUAAUGCAGUGGUUUUUAUGCAAUAGAUAAUUUACCACAAUAAAAAUGAAGAAAAGCUGUGUCUGUAACACCCCCCCCCCCAGCCGGCCUGGCUCCCGAUGAAGAUGAGGUGGAGCAGAAAAGGAAGAAAGGACAGAAGGAAUCCGAGGAAGGACAAAGGGACCAGGACGGAGCCCAGACCUGAGCACCCAUCCCGGCCCCUGGCCCUUCCCUCCUGACGGUCACUCCCAACUUCCUGAGAAAUCUGUAAAUCCUCGUGCUAUGAGACCUCGCUGGUCUAUGAAAAUCACCCGGUUCGCCUGCUUACGAGAGCUGGUCGGCUCCGGGAUGGACUUUCAGAUUAGAUAACGCAGCAAUAUAUUUUAAGAAACCUAUGAUCCGGGCGCGUACCUGUUGAUCAGAUCAAGGAGACAAGUGACAUCCUGAAGAUCUCAGAGGCCAGGCCUCCACCAGCACCACGAGUGCCCGGCUGAUGCUGUUCCCACAUCCUUCCCGUGGCCGCCCCACACCAGGUUUCCUUUAGAGGAAGAGCCUGAGAUCCCAGAAGCCCUCUGCAGGACGGACGCAGCCGCCACCUUUCACUUUCUAACCAGCCCUUCCUUCCUCUUGCUGAGCCCUGACUUAAGUAGGGGCCUCAGGGAAGCCUUUCAGAGACAGGACCCUCCCCGGUGCAGUUCAGGGCCCAGAGACCCUCCAGAUGGCUCUGUCCCUGCUCCCAGCCAGCCUGUCCUGUGAGAACCGUGUCCCGGGCUCUGCUCCAGGUACUGUCUGUGCCGGGGAGGAGGGGACCGGCUGAGGGGAGAGCCGGCAGGAACCGUGGGUGGCCCUGUGGGUCGGCGAGAUAGGCCAUGCUGUCGGAGGCAAGGGGCCGUGGACAGACUGGGACCCAGCUCUGUCCUGCCAGGAGUCCUGCCGCAGCCGUGGAAGGGCUGGCUGGGGGCCAGGGCCGGAGCCGCAGGCCCAGGAAGCCCUGCCCCCGGAUCUGCCCGGGCCAGCUCGGCCCAGUGAACCCGGCCGUGAGCGCCACUCCCACAGGGUGACAGGAUGCCCCCUGGCCGGUGUCCGGCUGGCCCCGGCUCGGGAGCCACCAGGCCCACAUGCUUGGCGCACAGCGGAGACAUUGACUGAGCACUUGCACGCCGCAUGGCGAUGACCCCUGGACCCCAGGGCCCCGGGGCACAAAUCACCAGCUCUGUUUGGCUCAUGGUGGGCAGCAGGCUGGUGGCACUGGGCUGUCCUGGCCACACAUCUGCUGGGCUCUGCUGGCUGCCCCUGGACACGCCCCUGCAGCCGAAGGUCAGCCAGUCCAGCCUCAGCCCUGCCGGUCCAGCCUCGGCCCCUCCACACGCCUCCUGCUCCCUCCAGGCCCCGAGGCUGUUCCAGAGCACAGAGGAGCUAACUCCGGGGUCCCGAGAGCCCCUCGCCCCCUGCACGCUCCCUCACGUCCGCCUCGCGCUCCUGGAAGCCGGGGGUUGGGGGGCAGCGGGUUCCAUGAUGGGGCGGCUGCUCAGGGGGCCUGGUCUCUGUGACCCACCAGGGCCACCUGCAGCAGGUGGGGGCCUCUCCCGGCCCUGUGGGACCCCUGCCCCAGGUCACAGAACCAGACAGGCCACUGCCCACCCCUGGGUCCCAUGGUCAGGGAGGGGACGGGAGGCUGUACCCGUGACCCAGUGUGGGGGGCUGGCGACUGUGAGGGGCCACCAAGGGGCUGGUGCUGGGUGAGUGACAGGGCCACAGGUGGGAGAUGAGGACAGACGGGGAGGGGGCGGGCUACAGGGGGCUUGUCACUUCACACUCUGGCUUUUUCUGGGGUGGGAGCCGCGGGGACCCUCGGGUGGAGCCUCCCUGCCGCAGGCCUGGGGCUCUGACAUGAUCCCCCUGUCUGAUGGUGACCAAGGGACUUAAGGGGCCACGUGGCCGCCAGGAGCCCGGGGGCUGGACCGCUGCACCGUCCAGGUGUGCCACCAUGGCCAGAGCCUGGUGAGGCUGGGGGUGUCUGGAAGCUGAGGCAGGGGCCACCAGGGGGCUGGACACACACACAGGACAAAGAGCAGCAGGGACUCCGGGGGCUCUGGGGCCACCACAGCAGGUGGCCCUGUGCUGGGGGACAGAGGAGCAGUCCAGUCCACCGUCCACACGGGGCAGGUCCAAUGGGCCGGGAGCCGUCUGUCCCCAGCAGCCCGCUGUCUGCAGGAGCCCUCGAGGCCCUGCCCGGUGCCCGCCUGGUCCUGGGGACACAGUGAGCCAGCCAGACCCUCCCGCGGGAGCGGAUGGCAGGCAGCCCAGUGCCAUAGAUCACCAGGACGACCCCAGGGCCUCCAGGGCAUCUCCUGGAACGAGGCUCAGCCACAGAGGUCCCUGCAGAGCAGCUCCCUGGACCCGUCCUUGGUCAUCACCGUGUCACGAGCCCGGAGGGGGGCUCAGCCCGCGCUCCACGCCACCCUUGCCGCACUCGGGGCGGUGCACACGUGUGAGCGUGAGUGUGUUCACACGCGUGUGUGGCUCAGGUUGGACCAUAAACCAGGCCUGGGGAGGAGGAUGGGGGUGUCCUGAGCACAUGGGAGACGCCUCUGCUUAGCUGCUUGAAGCUGUGGGUUCUUGAGCAAGACUCCUAACCUCUCUGAGCCUCAGCUUUCUCCUCUGAAAAUGCAGGUGUCACUGUGCCCAUCUUGUCACACAGCGGGUGGGGGUAGUGACUGGGUUCUCUAGGUGAUGAAGCUUCAGCGCGGGUCAUGUACAUCUUACCUCUGAGUCCUGAGUCCACACGCCUCGGGCACGUUACCCCCGAGCAGCGUCUCUGGCCCCUCCAAACUUUUUCCUUUUUCUUUUCUUUUUUUGAGACAAGGCCUCCCUAAAUUUUUCGGAGCCUUGCCAAGUUGCUGAGGUUGGCCUAGAGCUUGCGAUCCUCCUCCCUCAGCCUCCUGAGUCCCCGGGAUUGCAGGCGUGGCCACCACACUGGCAUAUGACUCAUUUCAAGAUCCUGUGAGCAACUGGCUGCCGCCCAGUGGUGGCCAUUCUGUUUACCAAGAGCACUGAGGUCUGCGUGACCCACAAAGGAAAAGGGAGAAACCGCGGUUGUUUGUUUAGCUGGGAUUUGGGGUCAUUCGUUACUGUGGCAAAACCUAACCUCUCCUGACUGGUGUACCAUGGACUCGAGAACACGUGAUGUCCAGGUGCACCGUGGGGGCCACAGUCAGCCUUACUCUUACUUAAACAACCUCCCAGAGCAAAUGAGCAGGUCAGGACACUGAGUGGGGUGGACGGACUCUGAGGAGGCCCCACAGUCCCCCUCCUGGAAUCUGCAGACCUGCUCCUCCCUCCUGCUGAGCGUGAGCCAGGCCGUGGCAUUGUCACUCAUGCCGUGAGCGACUCUGUGUCUGUCCCAUGGGAAGAGUCCUCUGCUGGCCUUGGAGAAGUGAGGAGCCGUGCUGGGAGGCCCGGGGCACAGACGGACUGCAGGGCCACCGCAGCCGCUUCUCCCACCUGGCUCUGGGCUGACGUCCAAGGGCAGGGUGUGGCAGGGCUGCGGCCUCUGACUUCUCCCUGCCUGGCUGGGUUCCAGCUUGCCCAAUGUCCUCACGUGGACACCAAUCAGGCUGCGUCAGGGCCACCCCGGGGGCCCCUGGUAGCUUAGUCACCCCUUCAAAGACCCUGUCUCCAUGCGGUCGCAUUCUGAGGUCCUGGGGUCUGGGCCUCAGCUCGGGAACCCUGGGGAGAGCGGCCAGCCGGCUCCAUGGCCAGGCCCGGGUCCUGCCCACGGCCAGGUGAGCGGGAAGCAGACCCCCCAGGAGCCCCGGGAGCCCCCGGCCCCCAACACUGAGCAGAGAACGCCCUGGGCCAGGCAGACGCGUGUCCAGGGAGGACCCGCAGGCUGUGAUGCCCCUUGGCCUCUGCUCCUGGGGUCCGGGACCCUUAGGGGUGAGGACCUGGUGCCAGGGUGCUGCCCCAGGAGCUGCCCCGAGCCUGCUGCCUAUCCGUGGGGCUUCGGUCAGCUGCUGGGCAGCUGCCAUCUUCUUUGCAGCCUGAGUGGUAGCAGCUCCUGUCCCCCUGCAGCUGGGGCGUGGAGGCCAGAGAGCUGAGGUAACCAUUGCAGUGGACUCGGCCACCUUCACGGUCAGCGUCACUAACCCAGGAUGCCCUGCAGCGGAGUCACCAAAGCAUAGGGACGGGAGGAGCCCACGGAGAGCUGCCAUGUCCCUCGGGGCGGGAGGAGUGGCCACGCUGCCCUCCGAGGCACGAUGCUCCCACGCUUGCCAUGAUGCUGACCAGGAUGUGGAUAUGUCCCCAUGUUCCCCAGGGGACCACGGAGGCUCCUACAUCCCAGGGCUUUCCCAAGGUGCCCCCGCUGCUGUGCCAGGCUGGGUAGAGCAGGCUGGGAACACCAAGGCUUGCCCCGCGGUGGCCCCGUGUGACCCCCGCGGCCAGGCAGGACAGAGAACGGGGCCCCGGCGUGUCUCAAGGGACUGGCUAAGCUGAGAAGUUUCUGGAACACGGUGGGAUGCCCGGGAGGGCUGAGGUGAUGUUUUUCAGCUGAAAAUGUCCCUUGGGUAAAAUUCCAGCCCUCUCCCUCCGUCUGCAGCAGGGACCUGGCUCCCUGAGACCCCAGCACAGGGAAGGGCGCUGCCCGGCUCCGUCCUGGAGUGGCCCCCAGCCUCCCCGGGGAACUGGGGCCAACGGCAGUGCAUGGGUACUGCCCCGUACGUGCUGGGCCACAGCACACCCUGCCCAGCCUGGCCGGGGGCUUUCCUGGGACCCGGGGGGCAGGCGGGAAGGAGGAGCCCGGGUGGCAGAUGUGGGAACGAGGCUCAGUGACAUGGGACGCUGGGCAAGAAGAAGAGUGGGAAGCAAGACCCCUGGAGGGGCGCCAGGGCACCGCAUGCCAGCCGGGCAUCGCGGCCACGCAGCCCCUCCUCCCCCCUGGGCCCGGCUGACGCAGGUGCAGAGGAAACGCUGUCGGAGUUGGAGGCAGAAGGCGGCUCGUGUCCCCACAUCUGCCGCUUGCUCAGCGAUCCUGUGAGCCGCUGAAAAUCCCUGAGACCGGCAUAACCGGGCUGUGGCCCACAGUGACAAAGAGAAACGAGAAAACUGACAAUGAGAGGGACCUUUCUUGCCGGCCAGCGAAAGUCAGGCCUGUGCAAGCGGAAAGGGAGAGUCCUGGCCCCAGGAAGCAGAAUUCCAGGAAUAGAGUCAGCUUCAGGCACAGCCAGAUCCAGGGACUUGAGUCAUGUCACCAGACCUUAGUCACACUCCCUCCUUGGCCUGUCCACUCCUCCAUUCACAUUCUCCCCGAGGUGGCAUGCUGGCUGCCAGGAGUCCUACGAUCGUCCCUGUGAUCCGAGACAGAGAAGGAGCUGCCCCUUCCACGUCCCUGGCAAAGGCCGCAGCGCAGGCUGGAUCGGCUCUCCUAAGCCCACAGCGGAUCGGAAGGCCAGCUGCGCCCACCCCUCCCAGCCUGGAGUCGGGCACUGUCUGCGGAGUGCGAGCAGAGGCCAAUCCCCAGUGAGGACUAGGCUGGUGCCCACGAGAGGCAACAAGAGUCAGCUCCACCGGUGCCCGUCCUUCCGCCCAGAUCCUCCCCUCCCCCCCUCUGUCCCCAGGCCGCCCCUGGGUGGUAAGCUGCCCUGCCUUCUGGCCUUGGCAGUGGGCCCUGUGGAGACCAAGGACGGGAGGCCAGGAGCUGCCCUGGCCCUAGAGCGGGCGCUGGCUUCUCAGGGUGCCCCUGCCCUGCCCCUACAGGGGUCUACCAGGCUGGACGGCCCUCCUGGUCUUGGCGCAGGUGGGAGGCUGGGGCCACUGCAUGGUGCGCGACCCUGUGGGCCCCUCCAGGCCCUGAACUGCGCACUUAAAGAGCACCCACAGCGAGCCGGGCACCGUGGCCCACGCCUGUAACCCCAGGGGCUCGGGAGGCUGAGGCAGGAGGAUCAGGAGUUCAAAGCCAGCCUCAGCAAUGGUGAGGCCCUAAGCAACUCGGUGAGACCCUGUCUCUAAAUAAAAUACAGAAUAGGGCUGGGGACGUGGCUCAGUGGCCCAGUGUCCUUGAGCUCGAUCCCUGGAACCCUCCCUCCAAAAAAAAAAAAAAAAAAACAACAACCAAAAACCCAGCUACGGCUGUGAAUCUCCUGCUGUCAGGCCUGGGGCCAACCAGGGUGUCUCAGGGUUUAAAUAAAUCUCAAAGGCACCGUGUCCCAGCAAGGUCUGGGUCUGGUCCCCCUGGCCCGGAUCAAUGUGUACUCAGGGGUACUCAGGAUGGAGCAGGGACGUCCCCAGGCCUCGAGCGCUGACGCUGCAGCUGGUGACCGGCCUGGGGGCAGGGAGGGCGGGGAGCCGGGCACAGGGAAGCGAGGCAGAGUGGAGGACGCCCACUCCCCCUUCCGGCUCAGGAACUGAGUCAUUGGGCAGCUGCCGGCCUCCUGCACCGGGGACGCCGGGUGAGGCCAGUGCCACGCUCUGCACAUGGAGGACCGGAGCUCGCGGGAGGAGGGGCUGCGUCCCCGUCCCAGGAGCUGCACUGGGCCCCUGUCUGGGCAGAGGAUCCGCAGGCCGCAUUAAAAACUAAAGAAAAACACAGGUGAGGCUGAUUCUCGAUUCUCAUUGGCCCCAGUUGACCCAAAAUGUCAUCACUGUAAUCCACAUUAAAAGUGGUCCCUGAGAUACUCAUGGCCUUUUCACCUUGGGACUUCUGGAGUCCACUGGCAGCCCUCUCCAUGGCCACGACAUCUCCACAGCAACAUGAUGUCCCCUGGUGUCUGGAGACUGUCCCAGGCCCCACCUGCCCCUCAGGAGAGGCCUCGGGCGCAGCCCGGCCUCCCGCCAGCUCAGACCAGGGGACAGAGAGCCUCGGCCACUCGUGCAGGGUGGACAUUUCUCUACUGGGUGGGCCGAGCCCUCGGGCCAGGGAGCCGGGCCUGGUGACGAGGAGGGCAGGUGGCCACAAGCUGCCCUUGGCCUGCCGCAGCCCCGGGUGAGUCUCAGGCCCUUCCCUGGACAUCCCGCCUGCGGUCAGCACUGCCCCGGCUGCUAAUCGAGUCCAGGUCGGUUCCCAUCAAGUCAGUGAGGACGCGGCCCCUGGGCUCCGGCCAUGCGCGGCUCCAACCCAGGUCGGCACAGGCCCAGGGCAGCCGGGGAGGACACGCGGAAACGGAGCCGUUCUGUUUGGAAGGACGGCGCCCAGGGGCCUCUGCUGGGUCCCUGUGGAGCUUCUGUUUCUUCCUCUGGUCCAGGGCGGCCACUGUGCCUGGCCAAGGGCGUGCCACCACCAAGCCAUACCCAGGGGACCAGGGGACAGAGGCCCGGAGCAGGCUGGGCAUCCAGGGAGCGGAGCCCGGGCUGGAGAGGCCUCCGGGGGCCUCAGGCCAGCUGGGUGACCUGGUGGAACACUGUGAGGAAGCCCGGCCAGAAGGCCACGCACCUCUUCCAACGUCCAGUCACCAGACGGAGAUUCCCAAGCACCGAGAAAGCAACGUGCCACCCGGCCCAGAGCCCCAGGGCUGCUGAGCGCAGGGCGAAGUGUCCAGGGUCCUGGGGGCCAGGAGCUGGCUAGCUCAAGGCCAGGCCAUGCUGAGGAGGAUCCCCACCGCAAAACUCAAGGCUAUGUCUCUCAGCCCCAUCUCGUAGGUGAGGAAAUGGAGGGCCAGAGAGGUCGCACCACCCACCCAAAGUCACACAGCUCAGGACCAGAAACUGGGCUCCACUCAGGUCUGCUGGGCCCAUGUCUGGCGGGGAUCAUCCCCCCCACCCAGUACAGUUGACGUGGUGCCUUCACUGGAACAAGAGGGCAGAGUCAGCCUCAGUAGAGUCCCAAGGUUGGGACGGGGCGGGAAUCACAGGCCCUCUGGGGUGGCAGCCUCUUCAGAAAGAGGCCAGGAGAGGCCCGGACUGGAGUCCUGGAGAGGCCUGACCUUCCUGGGCAGCCAGGGGCUCCGCGUCCUCAGCCAGCACAUCCCAGCCAAUCCCAGGGUGACGGCCACAGCCCCCCACCAGCAAGUGUCCUGGAGCCAUUUCUUGCUGGUCAGGAAGCAGCUGGUAAAUGAGGGUCACAGCUGUCCCUGUUUCCACCCAGGCAGGGCGGACCCCACGGUCAGUAGCGCCUCGGGGGCUACACACCAGGAGAGGAGGGGGCCAGGCAAGGGGACUGUGGAGUGGGUUGCUGGGACUGUCACAGGCCCCAGGGGGGCGGCCGCGCCUGCUGAGAUGGGAAGCCCCAGGCCUCCUCCCCCAUGGAGAUGUCAUCCAGCACCCAGAGGGGACGCAGGAGGGACCCGAGCACGAGUCCCACGGAGACAGCGAGCAGGUGACAUCCAGCCGGGACUCUUGACCCCAGAACCUUCCCAGGGCAGUCCUGCCCCAGGAAAUAAA